GGUACAAUGAAAGGAAGUGUUGGUUUGUUUUGGAGUGGUGUGAGUGAGAGACCAGUAGUUGACCUUUGACGAAUCUGAAAAUGAUGUGCUGUUAUCUUCCAUGCAUGCUAGGAGAGAAUCAGCUGCAGGCACGCCCACACCUUUCUUGCUUAAAAGGCCAAUGUUUUACCUGUGGUAAUAUUGCUUUUUUUUUUAAAAGAAAGUAAUUAAACAUAUCAUAAUACAGUAGUACUGAUAAUGAGUGUCUACAAGAUUAGAAAAAUCAAAAGUAAAUAAUUAGAAAUGGAGUAGCCCCAUAUUUUUAUUCAAUAAUGAAGACGUUAAUGCUUAUCUACAACCCAUUAUGUUGCAAUAAGUCUAUACUAUGAAUGACCUAUUCUUGGUUGAUUACAACUUAGAAGCAGGAUUACCGCAGAGCAGGUAGGCAGAAUUAUUUGGUGUAAUAAUAUCUGUCUGAGGCGCAUGCAGGGAUGAGUUCCCUCUUCCCUAGUAGCUAGUGUAAUCAAUUAAUUUCAUGCAUGUCCCACGGUGAGGGCCGAGUGAUUAUGGCUUUCUACUUGCAAACUAAAGAGGAAACAUCUUUUUUAACUAAAAAACCAAGAAAAGAAAAGAGAGGAAGCAUCUUAAUGUACAUGUGGAAUUGUUAAUUAAAUAAAAAAAUUUAAAUUCAAUAUUAAAUAAUAUUAAAUUAAACUUUAAUAUGUUUUCUUCUCUCUCCUCUCCCACGUUUCAUUAUCUUCUUCCCCCGCCCUCUCUACCAUAGCUGCCCACCAAGUUCCAACAGGCCACCACGUCUCUAUUUUUUAUUUCAUUCCAAUGAAAAAAAAAAAACCCCUUAUCUUGUUGGAGAAGAAUCAGAGCUUUUAUGUUGGAGCUUUUAAAUUUGAAAGAUUUCAUUUCUAGGUUUAUAUAUUUUGUUAAUGGAGCUCCGAUGUCAAUGCUUUCUCGAUCCCGCUGGCGCAAUACAACCCGUUGGAUGAGUCGAGCCCACUUGUUUUGAAGCUAAGGAAGAGUCCUUCACUUUUGGAUUGAUCCAAAUGCGCCUCUCUCAAUCUCAAAGCAAUGGCUCAGCUGCUUAAGCUGAAAGCUUGAACUCUGGUGUCAAAAAAGGGGAGUAAAGUAAGCCUUAAAUUUCCCAGCUUCGAUUCUUUGAAUCGGCCACUGGGAGACGUUGGAACAAAGGGUAGUGGAUGCAUACGGCUAGGGCCUAAGACAGGAGGGGCGCAUGGACUAAAUGCUGGUGGCGCAAGGGAAGUGGUGGCCUGGAGCUGUGCAAGGCAACAGUAGGUGGUUGUUGGAGUGAACUGUGAAGGUGAUGAAACGGGGUAGAGGAGAGAGAAGGAAACGUAUAAAAAUUUAAUUUAAUAUUGAAUUUAAAUUUUUAUUUAAUUAAUAAUUCCACAUGUUGUAUACGGAUUGGUUGCGGAAUUUUUUUAAUAAAAUAAAAACUUUAACAAUAAA
Long non-coding RNA from Gossypium raimondii (Peruvian cotton), 1461 nucleotides. RefSeq lists it as uncharacterized. The transcript has 2 exons. Lineage: Eukaryota; Viridiplantae; Streptophyta; Magnoliopsida; Malvales; Malvaceae. The record is from RefSeq and is a predicted model, not a curated record.